This 613-nucleotide ribosomal RNA is filed under the name Trichoderma sp. BAB-4695. RNAcentral's name for it is "eukaryotic LSU rRNA". The stretch from base 219 to 372 matches the Rfam family "5.8S ribosomal RNA". The record is from RNAcentral. Lineage: Eukaryota; Fungi; Ascomycota; Sordariomycetes; Hypocreales; Hypocreaceae.
UUCCGUAGGUGAACCUGCGGAGGGCAGCAUUACCGAGUUUACAACUCCCAAACCCAAUGUGAACCAUACCAAACUGUUGCCUCGGCGGGGUCACGCCCCGGGUGCGUCGCAGCCCCGGAACCAGGCGCCCGCCGGAGGGACCAACCAAACUCUUUACUGUAGUCCCCUCGCGGACGUUAUUUCUUACAGCUCUGAGCAAAAAAUUCAAAAUGAAUCAAAACUUUCAACAACGGAUCUCUUGGUUCUGGCAUCGAUGAAGAACGCAGCGAAAUGCGAUAAGUAAUGUGAAUUGCAGAAUUCAGUGAAUCAUCGAAUCUUUGAACGCACAUUGCGCCCGCCAGUAUUCUGGCGGGCAUGCCUGUCCGAGCGUCAUUUCAACCCUCGAACCCCUCCGGGGGGUCGGCGUUGGGGAUCGGGAACCCCUCAGACGGGAUCCCGGCCCCGAAAUACAGUGGCGGUCUCGCCGGCGAGAAAGCUCCUGCGCAGUAGUUUGCACAACUCGCACCGGGAGCGCGGCGCGUCCACGUCCGUAAAACACCCAACUUUCUGAAAUGUUGACCUCGGAUCAGGUAGGAAUACCCGCUGAACUUAAGCAUAUCAAUAAGCGGAGGAA